Molecule: transfer RNA, 73 nt
Filed under: Salmo salar (Atlantic salmon)
Lineage: Eukaryota; Metazoa; Chordata; Actinopteri; Salmoniformes; Salmonidae
Rfam family: tRNA
About the family: Transfer RNA (tRNA) molecules are approximately 80 nucleotides in length. Their secondary structure includes four short double-helical elements and three loops (D, anti-codon, and T loops). Further hydrogen bonds mediate the characteristic L-shaped molecular structure. tRNAs have two regions of fundamental functional importance: the anti-codon, which is responsible for specific mRNA codon recognition, and the 3' end, to which the tRNAs corresponding amino acid is attached (by aminoacyl-tRNA synthetases). tRNAs cope with the degeneracy of the genetic code in two manners: having more than one tRNA (with a specific anti-codon) for a particular amino acid; and 'wobble' base-pairing, i.e. permitting non-standard base-pairing at the 3rd anti-codon position.
Source: Rfam by way of RNAcentral
GUUCCUGUGGCUCAGUUGGUAGAGCAUGGUGUGUGCAACGCCAGGGUUGUGGGUUUGAUUCCCAUGGGGGGCC